This is an RNA transcript of Rhineura floridana, 6202 nucleotides long. It is a transcript of the gene named FYVE, RhoGEF and PH domain containing 5, with no coding region annotated. The record is from RefSeq and is a predicted model, not a curated record. Lineage: Eukaryota; Metazoa; Chordata; Lepidosauria; Squamata; Rhineuridae. The transcript has 23 exons.
GAAGCGGCAGCCGCUGUCUCUUUAAAUCUCCGCUUGUUUUGGCAUUGGUGCUCGCGCUCACCCCCUCCCUUUUCUUUGCUGCUUUUCAAUCCCUGUGUGAGCAAAAGGGCUUCCUCUGCAGGGAAGGAAGGGAAAUGCCUGCCUGCCGGAGGAGGCGGAGGAGGCCAGCAGCAGCAGCAGCAGCAGCAGCAGCCGCCCUGGGCAUCUCACAGCGACCAGCAAGUGGUGGGGACCUUCCAGCUGCAACAAGCUGAUAGCGGCGAUGGGGCAGGGCGACGACGGCUCCCCGCAGCACUGACCGCCCCCCGCUGCUGUCGCCACCGCCUGGCCGAGCCAGCCUGCCCGAAAGGGUUCCUCCGGAUACUUUUGGGAAGAGAGAGGGGGGGCGUUCCUGCCGCCGCCGCCGCUACUUCUACUACUCGUGUCGCUUUCUGCCCCCCCACGAAACUUGGCUGAGCAGAUUUGCUCUCCCGGUUUCCCAUCCACCCACCUAUGCCCCGACUUGAAUUUUAGCCGCCCGGGGGCUUCGGCUUAGGGAGCCACUCUGAUCGCCUGGCCGGGAACAUGAUUUGAAGACGGGGAGGCGAGACGGGAAGCGAGAGAGAGAGAGAGAGCGGCGACUUGGGGGAGACUCCGGAAGAUGAGCCACGCAGAUCUUACAAAACCACCACUAGCACCAAAACCAAAGAUUCUCAAUCAUCUUGCUUCCAUAGCUGCUUCCAAAUUUCAUCCAUCACUAUCAAGGUCUGGUGCACUUCACAAUUCAAACUCUAUGUCUAGGGGUCCAAAGCCACCCAUUGCUCCCAAGCCAAAAAUCUCUGCUGACAACGACCCAGCGAUUAUACAGAGAUCCAGUGUUCAUGCAAACAAUACUUUUAACAAAUGUACCAAUGGAAAACUGGAGGGAGAGCUUUAUGAAGGAAAUCAGUGCAACAACACAGAGCUCUUAGAAGCAGAAGUUGGUGAUGAAUAUAUUGUAAUUUCUGAAGAUGAAUUGAUUGAUCAAGAUUAUGACUUUGAACAUGAGCAAGAACCGACAGAGAAUGAGAUCUUAUACACGCCUGAAGAAGCAGGUGAAGAAGAGGUUAACUGCACCAACAAUAAUGAGAUCUGUGAUCUUGAAAUAAAUGUACUGGAAAACAAUGACACUGAACCAGUGGGAGAUGACUCAGCUCAGUCAAUCAAAAUUCAAGCUCUUGGCAGCUGUGAAGCACCUGAAAAGGAAAAGAAGGAUGCUUCUAAGGAUGGAUAUGAAAAUGUGGAUUGUGAAACUGAUCCCAAUGAGAAGAAAAUGAACUUCACAGAUGAGUCUGAUGAAACACUCCGAGAACUGGACCUGGUAAAGGAUAAUAGUGAGUAUAACAUGGACAAUAAGAUUUUGAAUGGAGAUGAUGCUUUGGAGGACACUAUAUGUGAAGACAUUAUUUUAAGACAUUUAGAGGAGCCAAAGUCAUCUUCAGAGGAUCAACCACCAAUUUGUGAGGAUCCAGGAAAAGAGGGUCAACCUCAGAUUUUAGAAGAGGAACAACUGAAUGCUAACACAGAAAUUGGCCCAACAGAUAAUGAUGGGGAUGAAUCAGCCUUGAAUAUAGAGACAGAGCUUACAGAGGAUGUUUAUGCAAGCCCAGAUUAUCACCUUACUAAUGAUUCCGAAGAAGGAGAUACUGGAUUAGAACUAUAUGAACCUGGGCCCGAUCCUGAAGGGACUUUGAGAGAGACCACAAAUGAAGCUAAUGUUGAAAAAGUGGAGGAAAUAGAUCCAGAUAAUGAAUGUGAAACAAGUAUAGAACAGGAAGAAAAUACAGAUGAUGGCUACCAAACCACUGAGAUGAAAAGUGAGGAGGAAACAUCAGAAACAGUGUGUGAUACAAGGGAAGACUCUGAAGAGCAACAUGAUGACGUGGUAGAUACAGAGACCAUGGAGGAUAGCUGCCAGAUUAUUCCCUUUGAAAAAGAGUGCAGCGAGGAUACUCCUGAGUCUCCUGAAAAAAAUUUAGAUGAAGAUUUGCCAUCAGAAGAGACUGAAAUUAUUAAUGAUAACCAGCCCUUCAGUCUUCAAGAUGUUAAUGGGCUUGAGUCUGAUUCACAGCUGGCAGAAAGAUCCAGGUCAGAUGUUUUACUUGGAAAUCAGAGUAUAAGUGAAUGUGCUUUGGAAGGUACACAAUCAGAUAACCAAAUGUUUGAAGUGGAUCACAGCAAUGGUGAAGAAACUAUCCCAAGUACAGUUUAUGAAACAUCAGCUGAAGAUACCUGGAACUCCAUAGGAGAACUGGACAUAUGCCACCACAGAAAAACCGAAACGGACUCAAGCAGGGAAUAUGUGCUUGAUGAAAUCUCACCAGUCCCUGUGGUGGUUGUUCUUGAUAAUGAGGAAGAAAUAGCCAGUGACUCCCUAGAUGACCCAUACGUAUUGGGAGACAGUUUGUCUUCAGCAAAUGAAAUCCUUUGUACUGGAAAAGAAAUGGGGGAGGCUGAUGUCCAUGAUAGUUCAAGUGAUUUCAGAGAAGGAGGGAGUAUGGACAGUGAAAACCACUUGCUCUCCAUUGAUCGGAAAAACAUUGUUACUAGAACAAGGUCCCUCUCUGGGAAAGUGCCUGGCUAUGUGCCAGAAACAGUUCCAGAAGAAACAGGCCCAGACACUGAACUGCAGCCCUCAACCACAGCCUCCACCACGACUGAAGAUGUAAGCCAUAGCUUCUCUCUGUCAGACGGAAAGUCCAUGGAAUUAAACAGAGCACUACCUGCAAAGCCAAGGCGCUUUGUUUUAUAUCCUCGAUCUUAUUCGGUAGAAGGCAGAGACAUCCCUGUCUCUGUAUAUAGAGAAAGUGAUAGCUCUAUGUUAGAUUACAAUAGAAUAAAUAGGACAGAAGACCUUUCUUUGCCUUAUGUAAUUGGUUCCUCAGGUAGCUUUUCCCAGAGGAAUCACCUUCCAUCCAGUGGGGUCUCCACCCCCUCCUCAGUUGUGGAUAUUCCACCUCCCUUUGAACUAGCGUGUAUCACCAAAAAGCCCAUCACGAAAAGUUCGCCUUCACUUUUAAUAGAGAAUGAAUCGCCUGAUAAGUACUGCAAGAAAAAGAAGUCCUCUUUUAAGAAGUUCCUCACCCUAAAGUUCAAGAAAAAGACAGAAAAUAAAGUCCAUGUGGAUGUGCACAUUUCUUCUUCCAGGUCCUCUUCAGAGUCUAGUUAUCACGGGCCUUCCAGGGUCAUAGAACUCGACAGGAGGAGCUUGAGUAGCUCACCUCAGCUAAUAUCACGGACUGGCAAGCUGAGGGCUUCUGAGUCCCCAACUGUUCUCUUCUACAAGGAUGGAAAAAGAAAAGGGACUCCCAAAACCUUUAGCCGGAGUGUGUCAAGGGUGGAGUCCUUUGAGGAUCGUUCGAGACCUCAUUUCAUGCCCCUUCCUUUAACUAAACCCAGGUCUAUUUCAUUUCCUAAUGCUGAUACUUCUGACUAUGAGAAUAUCCCAGCAAUGAACUCUGAUUAUGAAAACAUACAAAUACCCCCACGAAGGCCAACCAGAGCAGGAACCUUUACUGAGUUUUUUGAAGAUCCUAGCAGGGCAUUAUCUGCCGCAAACGAGAAUGAUGGCUAUGUGGAUAUGAGCAGUUUUACAGCCUUUGAGAACAACAAGCAGCAACCUACCAACCAGGAAACUGAAAGUGCCUAUACAGAGCCUUACAAAGUGUGCCCUAUCUCUGCAAUUCCCGUUGAAGACAUCAUAUCGGAUGAGGAACAGAAAAGUUCUGGAGAUGAGGAUGUUAACCAGGGGGAUUCCAACCUCACCCAUAAGCUUGAAGAUCCUCUGUGGCGCAGAGUGGUAAGCAGCGGUAACGCAGCCGAAGCUCUGCUCACGGCCGGAGUUCGAUUCCAACAGAAGGAGGAAGUCGAAUCUCUGGUAAAAGGGGUCGAGGUCCACUCAGCCUUCCAUCCAUCCGUGAAAGAAGGACAAUCCAGAGCCCAUCUCAUUGCCCAGGAGCUUGUGUCUUCAGAGAAAGUAUAUGUGGAGAUGCUCCGGCUAUUACAAAUGGAUUUCUACGAGGCUGUCUUAAAAGUGCUGGGAGAUGAUGAUGGCAAUGAUUAUGAAGAAGCAAAGCUCAAGAACGGGUUGAAUGAGAUCCCAGAAAUCUACAAAUUGCACCAAGAAAUAUUGGAAGAGCUGGAAGAAAAAGUUCUGAACUGGGAAGAUCAUCAGAAAGUGGCUGACAUUUUCCUCUCCAGAGUAUCAAGGUUCGGUCACCAUACAGCUUACAUUGUGCAGUUUGAUAGAAAUUUAGCUUUGAUGGAUGAAGCCCGUCUUAAAUCUUCCCAGCUGGAUACUAUCAUUCGGGAAUUUGAGCAGUUUUGUGGUGGCAGUCCCUUGAAUGUGAAGCACCAGCUCUUGAAAGUGGUGCAGCGUGUAUUUCAGUACCAUGUGCUACUCACAGAUUACUUGAAUAACCUUUGCCCUGAUUCUGCUGAGUAUGAAGAAACACAAGCUGCCUUGCUUAUCAUUUCUGAGGUUGCAGACCGAGCUAAUGACAGCAUGCAACAAGGGGAAAAUUUGCAGAAGCUGGUACAUAUAGAGUACAGUGUCAAGGGGCAGAGCAACCUCCUCCAACCAGGAAGGGUGUUUGUUAAAGAAGGAACGCUAAUGAAAGUAUGUGGGAAAAAUAGGCACCCUCGACAUUUGUUCUUGAUGAAUGAUGUUCUACUGUAUACAUUUCCCCAGAAGGAUGGCAAGUAUCGCCUGAAGAACACCUUGGCUGUUUCUGGCAUGAGGGUUAGCCGUCCAGUGACAGAAAAAGCACAAAAUGUCCUGAAGAUUGAAUAUGCUGAAAAUUGCCUAACUCUAUCAGCAAGCUCAUGCUCUGAAAGGGACGAGUGGUACAGCUGCAUCAAUAGAAGUAUCCCAGAUGACUACAGAGCUCACAGUACAGCUGCCUUUCAUAACAGUGUUGAACUUCGGGAACGGCUGGGAAUGUCUUUGGGUGAGAGGCCUCCAACCUUGGUUCCUGUGUCUCACGUCAUGAUGUGCAUGAACUGUGGUUGUGACUUCAAGCUCACACUGAGGCGUCAUCAUUGUCAUGCGUGUGGGAAGAUUAUAUGCCGGAAUUGUUCUAGAAACAAGUAUCCUCUGAAGUACCUCAAAGACCGACUUGCAAAAGUAUGCAAUGGCUGCUACGCUGAACUGAAGAGGAGAGAGCGGCCAAUAAGUAUGAGCUUUCCUACAAGUUCAUCCAGGUUUUCAGGCAGUGCCUUCUCUUCUGUCUUCCACAAUAUCCACUACUCAUCCUUCAAAAGACAAAAGAAAAUCCCUUCAGCUCUUUUGGAGGUGGCAGCUUCAGGAGAGGGCUCUUCUAUCAGUGGCUAUCUCAGCAGAUGCAAGAAAGGGAAAAGGCACUGGAAGAAGCUGUGGUUUGUCAUCAAAGGCAAAGUGCUCUACACCUAUACUGCAAGCGAGGAUAAAGUCGCCACCGAGAGUUUGCCUUUGCUGGGUUUCACAAUUGUCCCAGAAAAGGAAGACGGAAAUAUGGAUGCAGUUUUCCAUCUUUAUCACAAGCAAACUCUGUUUUAUAGCUUCCGAGCAGAGGAUAACAAUGCAGCAGAGAGCCAUGAAGCCCAUUGUGUGACCUUGGGCCAGACACAGUCUCUCAGCCUGACCUAUCUCACAGAGUUGGUGUAAGGAUAAAAUGGAAAGGAGGGGAACUAUAUGCGCCACCUUGAACAACUUGGAGAAAAGAUGGAUUGAAGCCAUGAAGGAAGCUUCUGUAUUAUAGCAGUUAUCAAUCAAGUGGACUUUGAAUAAAUACAUUUAUAUUUGCAACAGCACCCUUCUGUUGGAAGAAACAAGUGUAUAUAUCCCACUCUGGCUAAACACACAGGAGAGCACUAGUACAAGACUAUUUUGUUCCUUCCUCAAACUUACUUCCUUACAGGUGGAAACUUUUAAAAUAAGGAAUAUUUAUGGUUCUUUUUCCAUCUCUGCAAGUUCAUUCUUCACUGUAUUCCACUCCCGUAUAAUACAGUUGCAUCAUACUUUCAAGAUGUAGAAAAAAUGUAUGCAUUAUUUCAAAAAGAUGCUUACUCACUCAUAGCAACUGUUUCAGUUUUACUUAUUUAAGAGUACCAUCAAUUUGUUUUUCUGUCAGCCAUGAAACUGAAGUAUGGUGCCCUAUAUUUUAUUAAAACUACAGCUUCUUGCCGAAAGAGCUCUGGACUGACA